RNAcentral lists this ribosomal RNA (496 nucleotides) under uncultured bacterium. RNAcentral describes it as "partial 16S ribosomal RNA". It matches the Rfam family "Bacterial small subunit ribosomal RNA", at positions 29 to 507 of the family's 1533-position model. The record is from RNAcentral.
AUGAACGCUGGCGGCGUGCCUAAUACAUGCAAGUCGCGCGAACGGACGAGAAGCUUGCUUCUCUGAUGUUAGCGGCGGACGGGUGAGUAACCCGUGGAUAACCUACCUAUAAGACUGGGAUAACUUCGGGAAACCGGAUCUAAUACCGGCUAAUAUUUUGAACCGCCUGGUUCAAAAGUGAAAGACGGUCUUGCUGUCACUUAUAGAUGGAUCCGCGCUGCAUUAGCUAGUUGGUAAGGUAACGGCUUACCAAGGCAACGAUGCAUAGCCGACCUGAGAGGGUGAUGGGCCACACGGGAACGGAGACACGGUCCAGACUCCUACGGGAGGCAGAAGUAGGGAAUCUUCCGCAAUGGGCGAAAGCCGGACGGAGCAACGCCGCGUGAGUGAUGAAGGUCUUCGGAUCGUAAAACUCUGUUAUUAGGGAAGAACAUAUGUGUAAGUAACUGUGCACAUCUUGACGGUACCUAAUCAGAAAGCCACGGCUAACUACGUG